This 622-nucleotide ribosomal RNA is filed under the name uncultured bacterium. RNAcentral's name for it is "bacterial SSU rRNA". It matches the Rfam family "Bacterial small subunit ribosomal RNA", at positions 338 to 956 of the family's 1533-position model. The record is from RNAcentral.
CCUACGGGAGGCAGCAGUGGGGAAUUUUGGACAAUGGGCGCAAGCCUGAUCCAGCAAUGCCGCGUGAGUGAAGAAGGCCUUCGGGUUGUAAAGCUCUUUUGUCAGGGAAGAAACGGUGAAGGCUAAUAUCCUUUGCUAAUGACGGUACCUGAAGAAUAAGCACCGGCUAACUACGUGCCAGCAGCCGCGGUAAUACGUAGGGUGCAAGCGUUAAUCGGAAUUACUGGGCGUAAAGCGUGCGCAGGCGGUUUUGUAAGUUUGUCGUGAAAUACCCGGGCUCAACCUGGGAAUGGCGAUGAAGACUGCAAGGCUAGAAUCUGGCAGAGGGGGGUAGAAUUCCACGUGUAGCAGUGAAAUGCGUAGAGAUGUGGAGGAACACCGAUGGCGAAGGCAGCCCCCUGGGUCAAGAUUGACGCUCAUGCACGAAAGCGUGGGGAGCAAACAGGAUUAGAUACCCUGGUAGUCCACGCCCUAAACGAUGUCUACUAGUUGUCGGGUUUUAAUUAACUUGGUAACGCAGCUAACGCGUGAAGUAGACCGCCUGGGGAGUACGGUCGCAAGAUUAAAACCUAGAAAGUAGUAGGACGNGAGAGAGCGACGACGACGACGACGGAGGAGGAGG